UACAGAGGAGCCAAGCGUUGUCCGGAUUGACUGGGCGUAAAGCGCACGCAGGCGGAUGCGCGCGUGGGGUGUGAAAUCUGGCCGCUUAACGGCCAGGCGCCAUCCCAUACGGCGCGUCUGGAGUGAUGCAGAGGUCGAUGGAAUUGCCGGUGUAGUGGUGAAAUGCGUAGAGAUCGGCAGGAACACUCAGGGGGAAACCAGUCGACUGGGCAUCUACUGACGCUGAGGUGCGAGAGCGUGGGGAGCGAACCGG
RNAcentral lists this ribosomal RNA (253 nucleotides) under uncultured bacterium. RNAcentral describes it as "partial 16S ribosomal RNA". It matches the Rfam family "Bacterial small subunit ribosomal RNA", at positions 524 to 776 of the family's 1533-position model. The record is from RNAcentral.